Molecule: ribosomal RNA, 449 nt
Filed under: uncultured bacterium
Lineage: Bacteria
Description: partial 16S ribosomal RNA
Rfam family: Bacterial small subunit ribosomal RNA
Source: RNAcentral
AACGAACGCUGGCGGCAGGCCUAACACAUGCAAGUCGAACGCUGCAGCAAUGCAGAGUGGCAGACGGGUGAGUAACGCGUGGGAACCUUCCCAAUGGUACGGAAUAGCCCAGGGAAACUAGGGGUAAUACCGUAUAAGCCCCAUGGGGGAAAGAUUUAUCGCCAUUGGAUGGGCCCGCGUCGGAUUAGCUAGUUGGUGAGGUAACGGCUCACCAAGGCGACGAUCCGUAGCUGGUUUGAGAGAAUGACCAGCCACGCUGGGACUGAGACGCGGCCCAGACUCCUACGGGAGGCAGCAGUGGGGAAUCUUGGACGAUGGGCGAAAGCCUGAUCCAGCCAUGCCGCGUGAGUGACGAAGGCCUUAGGGUUGUAAAGCUCUUUUGGCGAGGACGAUAAUGACGGUACCCGCAGAAUAAGUCCCGGCUAACUUCGUGCCAGCCGCCGCCGUAA